UUUCAGAUGGUGUUACCUACAACUUUGACAGGCUGAUGAACGAAGGAGAAGCAAUAUGACAUUGCAUGAUGAUUCAUGUCAAUGAGUUCGAACAACCUAAAAGGAAAGGAUUUUUUCUGAUCAGAAUCUGGUGAGAACAAAUUGCAAUUUAAGUAAUGUUUUGAUUUCAGAAAAUAGGAAAAUAAUUAUAUAAAAAACAAAUGAAUGGUAAAAUAUGGAUAUAACACUUAAUUUUGUUUGUCUGUAUUGAGAAAGGCCGAAGAUGCCAAUAUGGCGAUGUACUGAAAAAAAAUUCUGUGAUGGAAGCAGCUUUAUGUUCAGAUGAACCUAUUUAAAAGUAAUUCUAAUAAUUUGUCCGUAAUUUUAUGAUGUUUACUAUUGGAUGUGUAUAUAAUUUCAUUGAUGUGUUGAAAUAUGUCACAAAAAUCUGUUUGUCUUGGAAGAUUAAAUAAUGGAUGCAAUAUUUUUGUUUUGUUUUAUUGAAUAAAUAUAAGGUAUAAAAAUUGUGUAUACUAGUACAAAUGUAUACUAAAAUUUUAUUCAUGGUUUAAUUUUUUA
RNAcentral lists this long non-coding RNA (558 nucleotides) under Mytilus galloprovincialis (Mediterranean mussel). Lineage: Eukaryota; Metazoa; Mollusca; Bivalvia; Mytilida; Mytilidae. The record is from RNAcentral.